UCUGAUUUAGCGUAGGUUACCUUGCCCUGAUGAAUUGUGGGCAAUAAAGUAUGCGAGUUUCCUUUUCUUCCCACAGAAGUCUUUUGACUGCUAUUCUUUGACUUUAACUUUGAAAACUGUGCGUCAUUUGCUUAUUAUUAGGAUGUAAUGGUGUAGAAAACUCCAUCUGUGAAAAACUAUAAUUUGAGGAACAUAAUGGCAGUAGAAAACAUGCAGGGGCUUGAAUCAAAGGCUGAAUGACGCCGGCUGCAGUGCAAGAAAAUGCUGUGAGAGAAUGAGCAGGUGUGGUGGAAAGACCCAUGGGCUUCAGGGAGAGAAUAGAUCAAUAACUAAUUUCAGUACCAAGCUUCACUCGCACUGUUUUCCAAUAAAUGCUGGAUGGAGAGUACAGGCUUAGCCCCCUCACCCCACUAUCUCGAUUCUAUCACCUUCUUCAAGCUGGCGUGGAGACGUGGCAACUGGCUGUUUUUUUUUUGUUGUUUUUUUUAUUAAAACAGAUUUGUAAUUGUUGAUUGACUGUAUUAUGUUUCUACAGCUUGUAUAAUGCAUAGACUGUUGUCCAGCUAUUUCCAUGUGUUCUGCACUUAUGCCAUCUCUGUAUCUUUAAAGUAUAUAGGGUUUUUUUUCUUCUCUUCCACUAUCCUGCUUCCUUCACCCCCUCCCAUCCUCGAAUGAGGGCCGGUGUUGAGGUUUUGUCAAGAGUAUGUAGGGAGAUUGAGGCAGACAGGAGAGUGAAGCGUGUGUCAUGCAGGGCUGCUGCUGCUGCUGCUGAGGCUCUUCUCCUCAGAGGCUGUGACCUAGAUAACCAAGAGGAGCUGGAGCGACUGCAAGCCUUGGAGCCACUCCAGCCUCAGCAAUGUCAGGAAGGGAGAGGAGAUGUGCAUAAAAGGACCUGAAAAAAGGAGAGAAGAGGAGGAAAGGAAGCAUCCAGAAAAAGACAUCUACUUAUGCAAGAUGGCAGCAUGCAUCUCUUCCAGAUUUGCAGUUUUGGAGUUAUUAUCUUGCUCAUACCAGGUCUGGUUUAACAUGGAUUUCACAGCACCAAUGUUUUUAUUACCAAUCUUCAACUCGUCCCCGAGUACCGUAGUCUACACACCCCACUCAGCCGGGCGGCAGAAAGGAGGAGGAUGUACAGUAGAGGGGUACGGGCUAAGCAGAAGUCAGAGACUUUCGGACUGCAAUGUCAUCAUUUUCACAGAGACAUGACUCAACAGCGGAGUACCAGACAAUGCUAUUGAACUAGCCGCGACUGCCACACACUUCGGGCCGAUAAACACAGCACUGUGUCAUCAUGUCAACUGCUUUCUGCAUCACUAAAUAAAUAAAAAUAAAGGUAUUGUUGUUGCACAACCACCAUGUUUAUUUGUUUAUCCAAGUGUUUUAGCAGAAGUGGAAAAAGUCGCAAAUGAGAUGUGUUUAUUUGUAGGGAUUGCA
This is a long non-coding RNA of Dunckerocampus dactyliophorus (ringed pipefish), 1434 nucleotides long. RefSeq lists it as uncharacterized. The transcript has 4 exons. NCBI's taxonomy places the organism in Eukaryota, Metazoa, Chordata, Actinopteri, Syngnathiformes, Syngnathidae. The record is from RefSeq and is a predicted model, not a curated record.